AACAAGAGGUUUCAUAAGAGAUUCAUAAGAGAUACUACCAACAAGAGGUUUCAUAAGAGAUACUACCAACAAGAGGUUUCAUAAGAGAUACUACCAACAAGAGGUUUCAUAAGAGAUACUACCAACAAGAGGUUUCAUAAGAGAUACUACCAACAAGAGGUUUCAUAAGAGAUACUACCAACAAGAGGUUUCAUAAGAGAUACUACCAACAAGAGGUUUCAUAAGAGAUACUACCAACAAGAGGUUUCAUAAGAGAUACUACCAACAAGAGGUUUCAUAAGAGAUACUACCAACAAGAGGUUUCAUAAGAGAUACUACCAACAAGAGGUUUCAUAAGAGAUACUACCAACAAGAGGUUUCAUAAGAGAUACUACCAACAAGAGGUUUCAUAAGAGAUUCAUAAGAGAUACUACCAACAAGAGGUUUCAUAAGAGAUACUACCAACAAGAGGUUUCAUAAGAGAUACUACCAACAAGAGGUUUCAUAAAAGUUUCAUAAGACAUACUACCAACAAGAGGUUUCAUAAGAGAUACUACCAACAAGAGGUUUCAUAAGAGAUACUACCAACAAGAGGUUUCAUAAGACAUAAAAAAUUUAAUGAAAAUUAAAUGACUAAAAUGUAAAAUGUAAAUACUACCAACAUCGGGUCUAGCAUGAAGCGCU
Long non-coding RNA from Coregonus clupeaformis (lake whitefish), 663 nucleotides. RefSeq lists it as uncharacterized. The record is from RefSeq and is a predicted model, not a curated record. NCBI's taxonomy places the organism in Eukaryota, Metazoa, Chordata, Actinopteri, Salmoniformes, Salmonidae. The transcript is spliced from 3 exons.